Bactrocera dorsalis (oriental fruit fly) is the source of this 1482-nucleotide long non-coding RNA. RefSeq lists it as uncharacterized. The record is from RefSeq and is a predicted model, not a curated record. NCBI's taxonomy places the organism in Eukaryota, Metazoa, Arthropoda, Insecta, Diptera, Tephritidae. The transcript has 2 exons.
GGGGAAACUUUAGUAUACGAUCCCACGAUUUCAGGGUUAAAAGUGGUAUGGUUGGAUAGAGCUGAUGCUCCAGAUUAAGAAAAUAUAUAAUUGUUGCCGCCGCAAACUUAUAGCUUUCGAGAUAUUUGCAUUUAAAGUUGAAAAUUUUGCAAAUUUUAUCUUGCAAUUUCUCGAUUGCUAGUAAUUAUUUAAUUCAUAUUAUGCACUUUUUAUGCACUUAUACUUCAUUACAUUGUUUCUACAUAUUUUUUUCCUGUAAUUAUUUAGUUAUUUGCUUAAAAUAAGCAUUUUAUAUUUUACACAAUUUUCAUUUCAUGCACAAUAACAAAAGUAUUCCGUGUUUACAGAUAUUAAGUGUUGCCAUAAUUACACAUUUAUCAAAUGAAUAAGAAUGGACAUAAAAACUCAAACGCAGAAAACAAAUACCAUCUGAAAUAAAUUUUCCAUUGUAAUAAAAAAAGUUUUAGGGCUUAUAAGUAUGUUUAAUCUAAUAAUUUAAUAAAAGGAUCAUAAUGAUUAUUUGCAAUUCAACAAAGGUAAAACAGGGUAAACAUUAGUCCAUUCGCGUCCCACUUCUUUCUGCAUUGGCGGCCUUCGGCCGCGCUUCAAAAAAAUAACCCUGGCCGAUCCAACACCGGGGUGUAUCAAGUUUUUUUUUUAAGUAAAACUCCUUUUCGCGUUGGCGGCCUUCGGCCGCGCUUCAAAAAAAUAACCCUGGCCGAUCCAACACCGGGGUGUAUCAAUUUUUUUUUUAAGUAAAACUCCUUUUCGCGUUGGCGGCCUUCGGCCGCGCUUCAAAAAAAUAACCCUGGCCGAUCCAACACCGGGGUGUAUCAAGUUUUUUUUUAAGUAAAACUCCUUUUCGCGUUGGCGGCCUUCGGCCGCGCUUCAAAAAAAUAACCCUGGCCGAUCCAACACCGGGGUGUAUCAGGUUGUUUUUAAGUAAAACUCCUUUUCGCGUUGGCGGCCUUCGGCCGCGCUUCAAAAAAAUAACCCUGGCCGAUCCAACACCGGGGUGUAUCAAAUUUUUUUUUAAGUAAAACUCCUUUUCGCGUUGGCGGCCUUCGGCCGCGCUUCAAAAAAAUAACCCUGGCCGAUCCAACACCGGGGUGUAUCAAGUUUUUUUUAAUUAAAACUCCUUUUCGCGUUGGCGGCCUUCGGCCGCGCUUCAAAAAAAUAACCCUGGCCGAUCCAACACCGGGGUGUAUCAGGUUGUUUUUAAGUAAAACUCCUUUGCGCGUUGGCGGCCUUCGGCCGCGCUUCAAAAAAAUAACCCUGGCCGAUCCAACACCGGGGUGUAUCAAAAAUCUUGAUAUAUCAAGAAAAAGGGCAAUGAUUUAUGUAUUUGGGGUAUAGUCCUAUUUUUUAUUCAUUUUUAUUCGUUUGAUAAAUGUGUAAUUAUGGCAACACUUAUUAUCUGUCAACACGGAAUACUUUUGUUAUUGUGCAUGAAAUGAAAAUUGUGUAAAAUAUAAAAUGCUU